GCACGAACUUAAUAUAGUUUGGUCACUGUGAAACCAAGCUGCAGUUCUGACUGAACCAGGUGAUUUGUCAACUUCCCUUGGCGGUGCUUGUGGGUGGUUCAAAUCAUAUAUGCGCAGAAUCUUUUCCAUACCUCCAGUUAACAACAGAUGGGAAUCCUCAGAGAAGGCACAUGUUCGGACAAUGUGCUUGUGUUCAAAUGAAUGCAACUCAUCUCCAAUUAAGGCAUCCCAUAUUUUUGCAGUAAAAUCAGCAGAUCCCGAAGCCGCACGCAAAGCCUUGGUAUCAAGGCAGCAACUCCACACAGCACCCUUGUGCCCCUCGAACGUCCCGAUCCAGUCCCCCGUCUCCCCAUUCCUCAGCAUCGGACUCGAAU
RNAcentral lists this unclassified non-coding RNA (374 nucleotides) under Hevea brasiliensis (rubber tree). The record is from RNAcentral. Lineage: Eukaryota; Viridiplantae; Streptophyta; Magnoliopsida; Malpighiales; Euphorbiaceae.